RNAcentral lists this transfer RNA (72 nucleotides) under Crassvirales sp. RNAcentral describes it as "tRNA-Thr". It matches the Rfam family "tRNA". From Rfam's summary of the family: Transfer RNA (tRNA) molecules are approximately 80 nucleotides in length. Their secondary structure includes four short double-helical elements and three loops (D, anti-codon, and T loops). The record is from RNAcentral. Lineage: Duplodnaviria; Heunggongvirae; Uroviricota; Caudoviricetes; Crassvirales.
GCUUCAAUAGCACAGUGGUAGUGCAGCAUUCUUGUAAAAUGCAGGUCGUAGGUUCAAAUCCUACUUGAAGCU